This 555-nucleotide long non-coding RNA is filed under the name Oryza sativa (Asian cultivated rice). Its description in RNAcentral is "long non-coding RNA (OSAT_LNC000887)". The record is from RNAcentral. Lineage: Eukaryota; Viridiplantae; Streptophyta; Magnoliopsida; Poales; Poaceae.
CCGGACUUGUUGUCGAAGACGACGAAGGCGAAGGAGCCGGAGAGAUCCUUGACGACCUGGUCGGCGGGGUAGGGGCCGCGGUCGCGGAGGGUGCGGUAGGCCUCGAUGACGAGCAGCGCCUCGUUGGUGGAGCGGCUGCACAGCCCGUACUGCCGGAUCAGGCUGCUCAGGUUGUCCAGCCUCCCCAUGAACACGCAGUAGAUGUCAUCCAGCCCACAGAACAUCCUGUGUACACACCCAUUUACCAUUAUUAUCGAUCCCCUACGUUUUAAUCACCUUAAUUAUUCGGAUUCAUUGCCUCAUCGAUUAAAUUGAUUUAAUUUACCUCUCGUAGCCAGAGAGGCCAUUGCGGGCGUGGCCGGCGACGCAGGCGAGGGCGGCGCCGCCGCCGAAGGAGGUGGAGAAGGCCUCGAUGGGGUGGAGGGCGUGGAAGUCCCUGAGGAUCUCGUCGGGGUUCUUGGGCUUCGCCGCGCUGCUCCGCGGGCUGUUCAGCUCCGCCGGCGCGUGCGCCACCUGCUUCUGGAAUAUGGCCAACAUUUUCUUCUUCCUCUUGCU